Molecule: ribosomal RNA, 404 nt
Filed under: uncultured Coriobacteriaceae bacterium
Lineage: Bacteria; Bacillati; Actinomycetota; Coriobacteriia; Coriobacteriales; Coriobacteriaceae
Description: bacterial SSU rRNA
Rfam family: Bacterial small subunit ribosomal RNA
Source: RNAcentral
UGGGGAAUCUUGCGCAAUGGGCGAAAGCCUGACGCAGCAACGCCGCGUGCGGGAUGAAGGCUCUCGGGUCGUAAACCGCUUUCAGUAGGGACGAAACUGACUGUACCUACAGAAGAAGCCCCGGCUAAAUACGUGCCAGCAGCCGCGGUAAUACGUAUGGGGCAAGCGUUAUCCGGAUUCAUUGGGCGUAAAGAGCGCGUAGGCGGCUUGUUAAGUCAGAUGUGAAAACUGGGGGCUCAACCCGCAGCGUGCAUCUGAAACUGGCAGGCUUGAGUCUGGUAGAGGAAAGUGGAAUUCCCAGUGUAGCGGUGAAAUGCGCAGAUAUUGGGAGGAACACCAGUGGCGAAGGCGGCUUUCUGGGCCACGACUGACGCUGAGGCGCGAAAGCUAGGGGAGCAAACAGG